GAUGAACGCUGACAGAAUGCUUAACACAUGCAAGUCAACUUGAACUUCGGUUUGGGUGGCGGACGGGUGAGUAACGCGUACAGAACUUGCCUCACAGCUAGGGACAACAUUUGGAAACGAAUGCUAAUACCUGAUAUUAUGAUUAUAUGGCAUCGUAUAAUUAUGAAAGCUAUAUGCGCUGUGAGAGAGCUUUGCGUCCCAUUAGCUAGUUGGAGAGGUAACAGCUCACCAAGGCGAUGAUGGGUAGCCGGCCUGAGAGGGUGAUCGGCCACAAGGGGACUGAGACACGGCCCUUACUCCUACGGGAGGCAGCAGUGGGGAAUAUUGGACAAUGGACCGAGAGUCUGAUCCAGCAAUUCUGUGUGCACGAUGAAGUUUUUCGGAAUGUAAAGUGCUUUCAGUUGGGAAGAAAAAAAUGACGGUACCAACAGAAGAAGUGACGGCUAAAUACGUG
RNAcentral lists this ribosomal RNA (454 nucleotides) under uncultured bacterium. Its description in RNAcentral is "partial 16S ribosomal RNA". It matches the Rfam family "Bacterial small subunit ribosomal RNA", at positions 28 to 507 of the family's 1533-position model. The record is from RNAcentral.